GACUAUUACACCAACUGAAGCUUAGGAAGGAAUGGAAAGAGAGGAAGCUUGGAGAGCUAAUGGAAAGAAAUGCGUAAGAAAUAACAGAUCUGCGAUAGAAGUCGAAUACGAUUAAGUAACUAGGGGCAAGACACAGACUUUAGAGCGUCAAGUCAUACACAAACCGGAGUGACUUCACUACCUGAAGAAAGAAAGCUGCUUCGGCAGGGUCGAAGAAGACGUGUAAGACACCG
RNAcentral lists this long non-coding RNA (233 nucleotides) under Solanum pimpinellifolium. Its description in RNAcentral is "long non-coding RNA (SPIM_LNC000066)". Lineage: Eukaryota; Viridiplantae; Streptophyta; Magnoliopsida; Solanales; Solanaceae. The record is from RNAcentral.